CUCAAUGGCUGUGCCACCCUGAACAAGCCCGAUUCCGUCUUAUCUUGGAAGCUAAGCAGUGUCGGGCCUGGUUAGUACUUGGAUGGGAGAUCACCUGGGAAGACCACCAGGUGCUAUAGACA
This 122-nucleotide ribosomal RNA is filed under the name Pteropus alecto (black flying fox). The record is from RNAcentral. Lineage: Eukaryota; Metazoa; Chordata; Mammalia; Chiroptera; Pteropodidae.